CCUACGGGAGUCAGCAGUGAGGAAUAUUGGUCAAUGGGCGCGAGCCUGAACCAGCCAAGCCGCGUGAGGGAAGACGGUCCUAUGGAUUGUAAACUUCUUUUGUCGGGGAGCAAAAGACGCCACGCGUGGCGUUCCGAGAGUACCCGAAGAAAAAGCAUCGGCUAACUCCGUGCCAGCAGCCGCGGUAAUACUGAGGAUGCGAGCGUUAUCCGGAUUUAUUGGGUUUAAAGGGUGCGCAGGCGGAAGAUCAAGUCAGCGGUAAAAGUGAGAGGCUCAACCUCUUCGAGCCGUUGAAACUGGUUGUCUUGAGUGAGCGAGAAGUAUGCGGAAUGCGUGGUGUAGCGGUGAAAUGCAUAGAUAUCACGCAGAACUCCGAUUGCGAAGGCAGCAUACCGGCGCUCAACUGACGCUGAUGCACGAAAGUGUGGGUAUCGAACAGGAUUAGAUACCCGUGUAGUC
Molecule: ribosomal RNA, 459 nt
Filed under: uncultured bacterium
Lineage: Bacteria
Description: partial 16S ribosomal RNA
Rfam family: Bacterial small subunit ribosomal RNA
Source: RNAcentral